Molecule: long non-coding RNA, 590 nt
Organism: Callorhinus ursinus (northern fur seal)
Lineage: Eukaryota; Metazoa; Chordata; Mammalia; Carnivora; Otariidae
Source: RefSeq, a predicted model, not a curated record
UCACAACAGUGUUAAGAGAUAGGGGGUUCAGGUAUUUCUUAUUCUUGUUGAACAGAUGAGAAGAUGGAGGUUCAAAGUAUUGAAGAGAAAUGGCCAUUGUCACAAACCUGUUACUUGAUCCCCCUGAAUAUCGUCUGUAAAAGGAUCACAUGAGAAGAUCAGCGAUGACGUCUGCAGAGUGACUCACAGGGAGUGGGAUGAUGGACGCUGAAUGGCUGAUGGAAGAUGCCACAGCUCAAGCCUGGAGGCCCCCAUGGACUGGCAGAAUCCUGGUCCUAAAUCCGAGUUGAGGCACCCAGAGAUGCUGCUGGACGACUGAUACGUGCCUGAUGUGGUCUCUUCGCCAGCUUCUUUUUACCUUUAAUGGCAAUUCCCUAGGGAAGCCAUAUUACAAAGUCUCAGGAUCCUGUACUCCUUCAUACUGCUUUUAACAAUCUGAAUUCAAAAUUUAAUUUCUGUCUUCCUCACCUGACCACAAAGUCCCUAAAGGCAGGGACCAUGUCUGUCUUGUUCACUGUUGUAUAUUCAGCAGCCAAAUCAGUGCCCAGCACACAGUGGGCGUUCAAUAAAUGCGUGUUGCGUGAAAUGAA